GUAGCCUACGGGACGCAGCAGUAGGGCAUAUUGCUCAAUGGGGGAAACCCUGAAGCAGCAACGCCGCGUGGAGGAUGAAGGUUUUCGGAUUGUAAACUCCUUUUGUUAGAGAAGAUAAUGACGGUAUCUAACGAAUAAGCACCGGCUAACUCCGUGCCAGCAGCCGCGGUAAUACGGAGGGUGCAAGCGUUACUCGGAAUCACUGGGCGUAAAGAGCGCGUAGGCGGGAUAGCAAGUCAGAUGUGAAAUCCUAUGGCUUAACCAUAGAACUGCAUUUGCAACUGUUAUUCUAGGAUAUGGGAGAG
Molecule: ribosomal RNA, 305 nt
Filed under: uncultured bacterium
Lineage: Bacteria
Description: bacterial SSU rRNA
Rfam family: Bacterial small subunit ribosomal RNA
Source: RNAcentral